CCACGGAUAAAAGUUUGGCAUACGGUAAAAUUUGAAACACGAAGCGUAACAGGCGCACGUUAAAACACGGAACACGAUUUUCACGAUUAACCACGGAAAUCGAGCAACUCGGAUUACAUUCGUAUUUCAAUAAUCCAAGAUCUACCACAUAGGCGUUAAUCGUAUCAAGCAUCUAUCAACAUUCAAGAAUCAAACGUGUAAAAGUUUCGCACGAAACGUGUAGAGGGAGCUGGCCGCAGUUGUCAACGGCGUACGGCGUACGUGAACAGAAGGCUGGUCGAUAUGGGGAGAAAGAAAUACACUGGUAAAAUGUCGAUCGUCGAGUGGCACGAUAUCCAUCGGAUACGUACUGGAUGGAACGAUUAAUCCUCCGGUUCGUCUUCUUUGUCGUAAUCUCGGACGGCAAGACGGCACGACGGUACUAUGACAGUUUACCUCACAGUAAUGGCAAAUGCGUUACGACGAUCUGUCACGUGGUUAAGGGGUAAAAAUGAUCCGCAGGUUUGCACGUGUACGCCUACUCGCGUUCGUAUGCAUACUUCUAUACACGUGAAUUACGCGGUCGAAACGUGUAUUAUCUGUGUUGGUACGCGAAAUAUACAUAUGUAUACGUUGAAUGGCGGCUGUGCAAAAACGUCACAACGAGACGGCGCGUGGACGGUCGCGGCUGAACUGAUCGUGGGGGUCGAGCCACAGGUGUCAUCAGACGACGGCUGCUCCACCCCUCUGCCCCCACUGUUGCUCCCACACCCGCCCUCGAUCCCCACUCCCAUUCGCUACUUUCACGCACACGUCCAGCCCUGACGAAGGAGACGCGUGCGCACACCAGCCGGCUUCCUCUGUAAUCAUGCAAUAUCAUUUCGUCUACAGACGCGGCGCCUAUGACCGCCUAUGACCGCCUAUGAACGAGGCACGUGCUUCGCAUAGCUUCUUUUCAAACGAUACCGACUAUACUUUUUUUUUUUUCUAUUUUCUACAUUGCUUCUCUUGCUUUCAACGCAAAUACCAACAUGUAAUAUCGCACGAUGAACCACCUUUGUUUCAACACAGCAUUUGUUUAUUGAUUGCCUUAAACACUAUUAUGUAACACUAGGGAUCUGAAGAUAACAGAAAGGGAAGCAUAAAGUGUCUAUUGAUUAUCUUCAUCUAUUGAAAAACAAAAGUUAAUGAUUAAAUCAAAACAUUCGUAAUUCAAAUAGAUAUUUAUUCAAAAACCAGUGUAUUUCGUGACAAAACAUAUAACGUCAAUUAUUGACGCAAUGCUCAUGAAGUAUUCUCAUUCGCUCAAUCUCAUUCACACGAAUCCCUCCCUCUCUGUGAUUUAUACUCUUUAUACUAACUAUAUGUAUAUUUAUAAUAUAUAUAUAUAGAUAUAUAUAUAUAUAUAUAAAUUUUUUUUCUUUACGUUAGCUGUAUAAUAUAUAGUAUUUUCUAUUUCCAUCAUUCCUGUUUCAUUUCGUAUCAUGUACAAUUUAUCAUUGUAACGUUAAAAUUCUAUCCAUAGUCUAAUUACAUAUACAGUAUGUGUGAUAUGGGCGCUUUCAGCCGCUGUAUCUCUAUGCGGUACGUACAUUUCCCACGCACCCAAAAUUUUCCCUCUAAUUAGACGCGAGCAAAUAACACGAGCUUUCAUUUCGUAAUAAAACAGAAAAUCAGAUUUCCGUUAAAAAUAGUCUAUGGAAUAUAUGCAUCAAUUCAUUAUUUAAAAAAAGAAAAGGAAAAACGAAAAUCAAUCGAUCGUUCGCUCGACCGUCACAUCUUCGACGCUAAGCUACAUCUAGAAAAAUAUUUACCGAUUCUCUAAGGGGGAAAAGUUUGCAAGUAACGUUUGUUUUCUUGCCGCCUUCUAGCGUGGAAGAAACACGCCGAUUUUUCAUUAAACGAUAAAGGUAAAGUCGCAUGAUCGGACUUCGGAACAGAUCGUUUUACUAAACCUUUCGAUCGCCCUCGACUUCGUCACGUGUCGCUCGUGAGAUCCGCACGACCGUCCUGGGAAACGGAAGUGCUACUCACUUACCCUCUGCCUCGUCCAAAAGAUACUCUUAUCUUUCUCGUAAAAAAAAAAAGAUCUGGUACACCGCGAAAGAGAGUUAAGCACGUUAUUGUUGGAAAUCGUUCGGAGAACCGCUGUUUCGAGAAACGUACAUGUAAAGGAAAGUGUAAAGGAAAUCCUGGUAUUAGUAUGUAUUUUUAUUUUGUGCAAAUAUAAAAAAUUCUUUGUACGGUUGUAAAAAUUUGUCAAAGUAAAACCGUACGCCUUGAUUUUCGAGCGUGAUACCAAAUGGUAAUUGAUUAAGUUUUUCGGGGUGGGUUUUUUGUAACGUAAACAACUCGAUAAUACCAUGUCAACAUUUAAUGCAAAUCUACGUUUCACGAGCAAAUGAUUUAUAAUUAUAAUAGUAAUUAAUCAAGGGGAACACGUUUUGUCCGAAUCAUACAUUAUAAUGUACGUAAUAUAAUAAUAUUUUUACAUUUCGUUUCUACUUGAUUUCACUCUCGUAAAUUUUAUUAAAGGAUAGAAUAAUUCCGCGCUGCUUUGGGCCGAUUCGUUGAUUAGCCACGUCUAUGAAAGCAAAUAGCAGAAAAGUCGCGCUAGGCGCGAAGUUAUUAAUCGCUAGUCAAAAUUGAAAAUCUAUCAGAAGUAUCCCAGGACGAAUAAUUCGAUGGUAUGAAAUGACCGAUACGUUAUUCGUCGCUUCUCGUUAUUUGUUGCCUGAUAAACAUGCCAGGAUACGGUAAAGCAUAAUCUAUGAUGAAACAAUUAUUAAAAAUAUACAAUUCUCUUAUUGUGAUAAAAGAAAAAAGAA
This is a non-coding RNA of Osmia lignaria (orchard mason bee), 2807 nucleotides long. The record is from RefSeq and is a predicted model, not a curated record. Lineage: Eukaryota; Metazoa; Arthropoda; Insecta; Hymenoptera; Megachilidae.